UACGUAGGGUGCAAGCGUUAAUCGGAAUUACUGGGCGUAAAGCGUGUGUAGGCGGCUACGUAAGUCGGAUGUGAAAGCCCCAGGCUCAACCUGGGAAGUGCACUCGAUACUGCGUAGCUUGAGUAUCGGAGAGGUUGGUGGAAUUCUCGGUGUAGAGGUGAAAUUCGUAGAUAUCGAGAGGAACACCGGUGGCGAAGGCGGCCAACUGGACGAAUACUGACGCUGAGACACGAAAGCGUGGGAGCAAACAGG
Molecule: ribosomal RNA, 252 nt
Filed under: uncultured bacterium
Lineage: Bacteria
Description: partial 16S ribosomal RNA
Rfam family: Bacterial small subunit ribosomal RNA
Source: RNAcentral